AUGAGCAAUAAAUAUACAUAUGAUCAAGGUAAACUUACAUACAAACUCACAACAAAUGGAAACUACAAGAGGAAGAGAGAAGAAGAAUCAACAUCUCUCGCGAUGUCAAUCACGAUCCAAGAAUCAUCUACCUCCAAUCGUCGAGUUGCAACCUCCAUUGAUGCUUUUUUAAGCUCUAAAGACCAAAAAAAUGGUGGUUGA
Molecule: non-coding RNA, 201 nt
Organism: Vicia faba (fava bean)
Lineage: Eukaryota; Viridiplantae; Streptophyta; Magnoliopsida; Fabales; Fabaceae
Source: the annotation of a GenBank genome assembly